RNAcentral lists this ribosomal RNA (3110 nucleotides) under Microbispora rosea subsp. rosea. Its description in RNAcentral is "23S ribosomal RNA". It matches the Rfam family "Bacterial large subunit ribosomal RNA". Lineage: Bacteria; Bacillati; Actinomycetota; Actinomycetes; Streptosporangiales; Streptosporangiaceae. The record is from RNAcentral.
GGCCAAGUUAUUUAGGGCACACGGUGGAUGCCUUGGCAUCAGGAGCCGAUGAAGGACGUGGGAGGCUGCGUUAAGCCUCGGGGAGUCGCCAACCAGACGUUGAUCCGGGGAUGUCCGAAUGGGGAAACCUAGCACCAGUCAUGUGGUGUUGCCGCCGUCUGAAUGUAUAGGGCGGUUGGUGGUAACGCGGGGAAGUGAAACAUCUCAGUACCCGUAGGAGAAGAAAACAAUUUAGUGAUUCCGUGAGUAGUGGUGAGCGAAAGCGGAGGAGGCUAAACCGUGCGCGUGUGAUAGCCGGCGGGCGUUGCGUGUGCGGGGUUGUGGGACCUUCCGGAGGAGACCGCCGUCUCUUCAGGCAGUGAGAAAUCGGUGGGGUAGUCGAACGCUCUGGGAAGGGCGGCCGUAGACCGUGAUAGCCGGGUAGGCGAAAUCUUGCCGACUGUUGGGAGUGUUCCCGAGUAGCGCGGGGCUCGAGAAAUCCUGUGUGAAUCUGCCAGGACCACCUGGUAAGCCUAAAUACUUCCUGAUGACCGAUAGUGAACGAGUACCGUGAGGGAAAGGUGAAAAGCGCCCCGGUGAGGGGUCGUGAAAUAGUACCUGAAACCGUGUGCCUACAAGCCGUAGGAGCGUAAACAAGCUUGCUUGUUUGUGAUGUGACUGCGUGCCUUUUGAAGAAUGAGCCUGCGAGUUAUGGUGUGUGGCGAGGUUAACCCGUGUGGGGGAGCCGUAGCGAAAGCGAGUCUGAAUAGGGCGUUUGAGUCGCAUGCUGUAGACCCGAAGCGGGGUGAUCUACGCAUGGGCAGGUUGAAGCGUGGGUAAGACUGCGUGGAGGACCGAACCCACCAGGGUUGAAAACCUGGGGGAUGACCUGUGUGUAGGGGUGAAAGGCCAAUCAAACUCCGUGAUAGCUGGUUCUCCCCGAAAUGCAUUUAGGUGCAGCGUUACGUGUUGCUUGCCGGAGGUAGGGCUCUGGAUGGCUGAUGGGCCCGACAAGGUUACUGACGUCAGCCAAACUUCGAAUGCCGGUAAGUUGAGCGUGGCAGUGAGACUGCGGGGGAUAAGCUCCGUGGUCGAGAGGGAAACAGCCCAGAUCACCGACUAAGGCCCCUAAGCGUGUGCUAAGUGGGAAAGGAUGUGGAGUCGCAGUGACAACCAGGAGGUUGGCUUAGAAGCAGCCACCCUUGAAAGAGUGCGUAAUAGCUCACUGGUCAAGUGAUUCUGCGCCGACAAUGUAGCGGGGCUCAAGUACACCGCCGAAGUCGUGGCACCACCGGUUUUGUGCUGGUGGUGGGUAGGGGAGCGUCGUGCGAACCGGUGAAGCCGCCGAGUGAUCGUGUGGUGGAGGUCGUGCGAGUGAGAAUGCAGGCAUGAGUAGCGAGUCAGAAGUGAGAAUCUUCUGCGCCGAAUGACCAAGGGUUCCUGGGGCAGGUUCGUCCGCCCAGGGUAAGUCGGGACCUAAGGCGAGGCCGACAGGCGUAGUCGAUGGACAACGGGUUGAUAUUCCCGUACCCGCUGUGAUGCGCCCAUAUCGAAUCCAGUGAUACUAAGGGUCCUUAACCCGGUUGGCUCUUCGGAGCCGGCGUCAGGGUGAACGCCUGGCCUGAUCUGGUAGUAGGUAAGCGAUGGGGUGACGCAGGAAGGUAGCCCAGCCCGGGCGGUGGUUGUCCCGGGGUAAGCAUGUAGGGGGAGAGAUAGGCAAAUCCGUCUCUCAUAUUCCCUGAGGUGUGAUGCCGAGCCGAUUGUGGCGAAGUGGGUGAUCCUAUGAUGCCGAGAAAAGCCUCUAGUGAGUGUCGCGGCGGCCCGUACCCUAAACCGACUCAGGUGGUCAGGUAGAGAAUACCAAGGCGGUCGGGUGAACUGUGGUUAAGGAACUCGGCAAAUUGCCCCCGUAACUUCGGGAGAAGGGGGACCUUUACUGGUGAUCGGACUUGCUCCGUGAGCUGGUGGGGGUCGCAGUGGCCAGGGGGAAGCGACUGUUUACUAAAAACACAGGUCCGUGCGAAGUCGUAAGACGAUGUAUACGGACUGACGCCUGCCCGGUGCCGGAACGUUAAGGGGACCGCUUAGCCAGCACUUGUGUUGGCGAAGGUGAGAACUUAAGCGCCGGUAAACGGCGGUGGUAACUAUAACCAUCCUAAGGUAGCGAAAUUCCUUGUCGGGUAAGUUCCGACCUGCACGAAUGGCGUAACGACUUCCCCGCUGUCUCAACCACAGGCCCGGUGAAAUUGCAGUACGAGUAAAGAUGCUCGUUUCGCGCAGCAGGACGGAAAGACCCCGGGACCUUCACUACAGCUUGACAUUGGCGUUUGGAGCGUCUUGUGUAGGAUAGGUGGGAGACUGGGAAGCGGUAACGCUAGUUAUCGUGGAGUCAUUGGUGAAAUACCACUCUGGUCGUUUUGGACGUCUAACCCGCGCCCGUGAAUCCGGGUGGGGGACAGUGUCUGGUGGGUAGUUUAACUGGGGCGGUUGCCUCCUAAAAGGUAACGGAGGCGCCCAAAGGUUCCCUCAGCCUGGUUGGCAAUCAGGUGUCGAGUGUAAGUGCACAAGGGAGCUUGACUGUGAGACUGACGGGUCGAGCAGGAGCGAAAGCUGGGACUAGUGAUCCGGCAUCGGCGUGUGGAAGCGGUGUCGCUCAACGGCUAAAAGGUACCCCGGGGAUAACAGGCUGAUCUUCCCCAAGAGUCCAUAUCGACGGGAUGGUUUGGCACCUCGAUGUCGGCUCGUCGCAUCCUGGGGCUGGAGUAGGUCCCAAGGGUUGGGCUGUUCGCCCAUUAAAGCGGUACGCGAGCUGGGUUUAGAACGUCGCGAGACAGUUCGGUCCCUAUCCGCUGCGCGCGCAGGAGACUUGCGAGGGGCUGUCCCUAGUACGAGAGGACCGGGACGGACGAACCUCUGGUGUGCCAGUUGUUCCGCCAGGAGCACGGCUGGUUGGCUACGUUCGGUAGGGAUAACCGCUGAAAGCAUCUAAGCGGGAAGCUCGCCUCAAGAUGAGGUCUCCCACCACCUUGUGUGGGUAAGGCCCCCUAGAGAUGAUGGGGUUGAUAGGCCGGAAGUGGAAGCGCAGUAAUGUGUGGAGCUGACCGGUACUAAUAGGCCGAGGACUUGACCAU